AUAUGGCUGAAGAUGUCCGUGGAUUCUGAGAACUCCUGUGUUGUGCUGUCACGAGACUCCAGGGCUUCCUGCAUCUUCCAACCUGCCGAGGAGAAAGAUGACAUCCCAGGAGUGGGAGAGGAGAGUGUCCUGGAGAUGCUGAGUUACUCCAAGUUCUCUGACCUGGAGACUUGGCUGUGCACGCCUUCAUCGCUGCUCCUGCCGAGGGCCCUGGACUCCUCGUCCUCCUCCUCCUCUUCCUCACAUGACCACUUCUCCAACUCCCGUGGCUCCACCUGCAGUGAGCCUGGAGGGACGGUUGCAUCCUUCAGGUCGUCAGAUUGCUCCUUCCUCACUCCUGCUCUGGGGAAGGAGCUGCCGUUUCUGUCCACCCCCCUGCUCCCUAUCCUCUCUUCCACUCCUGCUGGAGCAGCGGUGCUGAGAUCUGGAAUGGGGGUCAGCAUCCGGAAGCGCCGGAGACUCGCUGCUAGUCCUGGAGGACUUCACUGGAACUCUGCAGGUUCGGUGCAGCGGGACUUCUGGUCAUCUGAUCCGUCCUCUGGGCCAGGGGGCAGCGCGGCGGCAGCGAGAUGCGAUGGAGGAGGCGGUGGUGCGAGAAGCGUCCCCGUGGCCGAAGGGGGUGGGGCUUUGGCUGGCGACCGGACGGCCUUGAGGAAAACCGUUUCAUCCGAUGAGCAGCAGGAAGGAGAGCGUCUACACCUGGCGCUGCUGAGUCGAGUGGACAGAAGCAGGAGGAAGCUCCGGGGCGUGAGCGUGAGUCUGACAUGGUUGUUUGGGUUCAAUAUCUUUUUAAUUUGCUGA
Long non-coding RNA from Betta splendens (Siamese fighting fish), 801 nucleotides. The record is from Ensembl. NCBI's taxonomy places the organism in Eukaryota, Metazoa, Chordata, Actinopteri, Anabantiformes, Osphronemidae.